GUGAAUUGGAUUUAAGUACUGUCUUUGCCACAUACCUCACAGUCUUGCUGCCUGGGUUGAAGUGAUCAUUAAGAAUUCGAAAGCAGGGCCGCCUGGGUGGCUCAGUGGGUUAAAGCCUCUGCCUUCACCUUGGGUCGUGAUCCUGGGGUCCUGGGAUCGAGUCCCACAUCGGGUUCUCUGCUCAGUGGAGAGCCUGCUUCCCCCCUCUCUCUGGCUGCCUCUCUGCCUACUGUGAUCUCUGUCAAAGAAAGAAAGAAAGAUGAAAGCACUCUGAAAACCACAAGGGAUUAUUAUUCCAACCCUUACAUAUUACAGAAGCCUACCCCUCACUUUGUUCUGUUCACCAUCCUCCUUCUCUUUCCAGAUUGUGCCCAUCCUCUUCAAGAUGGCACCCCGGCCUUCUCCCCACAGGCCCUGAUGCUAGCACCUCCCUCUUCGCAUCUACUUAAGGACCCACGUUAAACCACAUCUGAAAAAUGAAGAAAUGACCAACGAAACGUGAAGUUUGAG
RNAcentral lists this long non-coding RNA (510 nucleotides) under Mustela putorius furo (domestic ferret). RNAcentral's name for it is "lncRNA (ENSMPUG00000025375.1)". The record is from RNAcentral. Lineage: Eukaryota; Metazoa; Chordata; Mammalia; Carnivora; Mustelidae.